Molecule: long non-coding RNA, 406 nt
Filed under: Rattus norvegicus (Norway rat)
Lineage: Eukaryota; Metazoa; Chordata; Mammalia; Rodentia; Muridae
Description: long non-coding RNA NONRATT024163
Source: RNAcentral
CGCCGGCCGCCUUCAGUCAGCAGCUCGGCGCCACCUCCGGUCGGCGACUGCGGCGGGCUCGACGAGGCGGCUGACGGGGCGGCGGCGGGAAGACGGCCGGGUGCGCCUUGGGGUUUAGUGGCGGCUUCUCCAUGGGUCCAGCCAGCCGCUUCCCUGUGCUGUGAGUGUUUCCACCACUCCAGGAGACAGCAUUCAGAGUUGACCUUGUGAGAGCUGGCCAUAAUUUAAUUCCAUCUCUAGGUUUUCUGUAGGCACAUCGAGAACCAACCAUGGGCAGCUUUACUAAGGAAGAGUUUGACUGCCAUAUCCUCGAUGAAGGUUUCACUGCUAAGGACAUUCUGGACCAAAAAAUCAAUGAAGUUUCUUCCUCUGAUGAUAAGGAUGCUUUCUAUGUUGCGGACCUCGG